GUUUACGUCCCUGCCCUUGUACACACGCCGUCGCUACUAGAUUGAUGGCUCAGUGAGGCGUCCGGACUGGCCCAGAGAGGCGGGCAACUGCCACUCAGGGCCGGAAAGCUCUCCAAACUCGGUCAUUUAGAGGAAGUAAAAGUCGUAACAAGGUCUCCGUUGGUGAACCAGCGGAGGGAUCAUUA
RNAcentral lists this ribosomal RNA (185 nucleotides) under Calonectria gordoniae. RNAcentral's name for it is "partial 18S ribosomal RNA". It matches the Rfam family "Eukaryotic small subunit ribosomal RNA", at positions 1643 to 1831 of the family's 1831-position model. The record is from RNAcentral. Lineage: Eukaryota; Fungi; Ascomycota; Sordariomycetes; Hypocreales; Nectriaceae.